Long non-coding RNA from Bactrocera latifrons, 929 nucleotides. RefSeq lists it as uncharacterized. The transcript has 3 exons. The record is from RefSeq and is a predicted model, not a curated record. Lineage: Eukaryota; Metazoa; Arthropoda; Insecta; Diptera; Tephritidae.
AAAAAAAUAUGUGUGAAAAUUUUUAAAAUUGAGGAAUACAGUUUCAAAAACAAACUACAAGUUAAAAUAAAUAAAUAUUCAGUAUUUUGAGUGCAAAUAAAUCGAAGCAAUAAAAAACAUACUGAAAAACUGUUGUGCAAAAAUGAAUGAAAACAACUUACAGCCAAUGUAUUGAGCAGUUCACCAGUGACUGCAGUAGUAAAUAUUUAUAUAUAUUGCUUUUCAUUUACAUAAAUCGAAAAGUGUAAAAAUUUCCGUCUUCACGGCAGCGUACGAUUGCCAAGGUUAAGUGCUGUGAAGUGGAGCUCUCAGAGGCUUAAGGAAAAUAUUCAGCAGUGUCGCGGAAAACUUUAACACAACUAGCGCCCAUAGAGCACAAAGGAUUUUACAGAAUUUCAUAAGCCGCGUCCAAAUUUUAAAAGUGUGAGUGCGAUUGUGUUACGAUAAAAGGUGAUGCAGACAAAAAUAACUAAUAACUAGAUAUAAAUUCGCCAGAAACCAGAAAGGUACAAGGCCAGAACGACUACUAUAAAGCAAAGCAAACUGCGCUUGUGUAAAUCAUGUCCAACGAAAAGGCGACAAAAAUCUAGAGGGAAAAUUCAUCAUAAUACACACGCCCACUUAAAAUGCACGUAUGCUUACAUAUGCGGCAAUUUCUACGGCAUUGAAAUGAUCGACUCACACAGGCUUUAGAGGUGGUAGAGGCGAGUUGCAUGUCAUCAUCACUAGUGAAACUAGUUUUGCUGCUUUCGGCGGCUUGGUGGCCGACCUACAAGAUAAUUAUUCACAACUUAUCGGUACGACAUCGGCCAUUGAUUGGUGCAAUCAAUCACUGCUACUGUAUGGCAUAAAUAACUGUAGUAUGUAUAUUUACAGUGAAAUUAACGAUACAAUGGUUGAAUCUUUCCAUAUCGGAUGACAUGGUAUCC